GCGCCCGUAGCUCAGUUGGAUAGAGCGUCUGUCUACGGAACAGAAGGCCGGGAGUUCGAAUCUCUCCGGGCGCA
RNAcentral lists this transfer RNA (74 nucleotides) under Deltaproteobacteria bacterium. RNAcentral describes it as "tRNA-Arg". It matches the Rfam family "tRNA". From Rfam's summary of the family: Transfer RNA (tRNA) molecules are approximately 80 nucleotides in length. Their secondary structure includes four short double-helical elements and three loops (D, anti-codon, and T loops). Further hydrogen bonds mediate the characteristic L-shaped molecular structure. tRNAs have two regions of fundamental functional importance: the anti-codon, which is responsible for specific mRNA codon recognition, and the 3' end, to which the tRNAs corresponding amino acid is attached (by aminoacyl-tRNA synthetases). tRNAs cope with the degeneracy of the genetic code in two manners: having more than one tRNA (with a specific anti-codon) for a particular amino acid; and 'wobble' base-pairing, i.e. permitting non-standard base-pairing at the 3rd anti-codon position. The record is from RNAcentral. Lineage: Bacteria; Pseudomonadati; Myxococcota; Myxococcia.